ACGAACGCUGGCGGCGUGCUUAACCCAUGCCAGUCGAACGGAAAGGCCCUGCUUUUGUGGGGUGCUCGAGUGGCGAACGGGUGAGUAACACGUGAGUAACCUGCCCUUGACUUUGGGAUAACUUCAGGAAACUGGGGCUAAUACCGGAUAGGAGCUCCUGCUGCAUGGUGGGGGUUGGAAAGUUUCGGCGGUUGGGGAUGGACUCGCGGCUUAUCAGCUUGUUGGUGGGGUAGUGGCUUACCAAGGCUUUGACGGGUAGCCGGCCUGAGAGGGUGACCGGCCACAUUGGGACUGAGAUACGGCCCAGACUCCUACGGGAGGCAGCAGUGGGGAAUAUUGCACAAUGGGCGGAAGCCUGAUGCAGCAACGCCGCGUGCGGGAUGAAGGCCUUCGGGUUGUAAACCGCUUUCGCCUGUGACGAAGCGUGAGUGACGGUAAUGGGUAAAGAAGCACCGGCUAACUACGUG
This 467-nucleotide ribosomal RNA is filed under the name uncultured bacterium. Its description in RNAcentral is "partial 16S ribosomal RNA". It matches the Rfam family "Bacterial small subunit ribosomal RNA", at positions 29 to 507 of the family's 1533-position model. The record is from RNAcentral.